ACGAACGCUGGCGGCGUGCUUCACCCAUGCAAGUCGCACGGAAAGGCCUCUUUCGGGGGGUACUCGAGUGGCGAACGGGUGAGUAACACGUGAGUAACCUGCCCUUGACUUUGGGAUAACUUCAGGAAACUGGGGCUAAUACCGGAUAGGAGCUCCUGCUGCAUGGUGGGGGUUGGAAAGUUUCGGCGGUUGGGGAUGGACUCGCGGCUUAUCAGCUUGUUGGUGGGGUAGUGGCUUACCAAGGCUUUGACGGGUAGCCGGCCUGAGAGGGUGACCGGCCACAUUGGGACUGAGAUACGGCCCAGACUCCUACGGGAGGCAGCAGUGGGGAAUAUUGCACAAUGGGUGGAAGCCUGAUGCAGCAACGCCGUGUGCGGGAUGACGGCCUUCGGGUUGUAAACCGCUUUCGCUCAUGACGAAGCUUUGUGUGACGGUAGUGGGUAAAGAAGCACCGGCUAACUACGUG
Molecule: ribosomal RNA, 466 nt
Filed under: uncultured bacterium
Lineage: Bacteria
Description: partial 16S ribosomal RNA
Rfam family: Bacterial small subunit ribosomal RNA
Source: RNAcentral